Molecule: non-coding RNA, 46 nt
Organism: Camelus ferus (Wild Bactrian camel)
Lineage: Eukaryota; Metazoa; Chordata; Mammalia; Artiodactyla; Camelidae
Source: Rfam
CCAAAGGCUCUUUUCAGAGCCCCCCACUACUUCGAAAGAAGAGCUC